Molecule: non-coding RNA, 30 nt
Filed under: Mus musculus (house mouse)
Lineage: Eukaryota; Metazoa; Chordata; Mammalia; Rodentia; Muridae
Source: RNAcentral
UGGGAUUAAUGUAUAUUCUUAUUUUGCCAC